GAAGUAUGGCAUGCUCAAAUUUUUAUCAUUUAGCUCGUAACAAUUUUGUUAUUCAAUGAGGUUUGCUUCCUGCAUCUAUUUGUUAUAUAGUGCAAAGUGUCAUUUGUGUAUUAGAAAGACUUGCUUCUAGGAUAUGAUUUCAAGUAGACACUUGAUGAGUAUGGCAUGUUGUGUUCAUUUUGUUCGUGUUGUGUUCAUUUUGUUCAUGUUGACUUAUCUUUGGACAUCAUUGUUGAAUGUUUUUGCACAUUUUGAGCAUCAUAGGAGGUUUCUGACAUUAAUUAGUUAAGCAUUUGCUAAUUUCAUGCUCA
RNAcentral lists this unclassified non-coding RNA (311 nucleotides) under Hevea brasiliensis (rubber tree). Lineage: Eukaryota; Viridiplantae; Streptophyta; Magnoliopsida; Malpighiales; Euphorbiaceae. The record is from RNAcentral.